AUUGAACGCUGGCGGCAGGCCUAACACAUGCAAGUCGAGCGCGAAAGUUCUUCGGAAUGAGUAAAGCGGCGGACGGGUGAGUAAUACAUGGGAAUCUGCCUGGUAGUGGGGGACAACGUUUCGAAAGGAACGCUAAUACCGCAUGCGCCCUACGGGGGAAAGGGGGGGAUCGCAAGACCUCUCGCUAUCAGAUGAGCCCA
This 200-nucleotide ribosomal RNA is filed under the name uncultured bacterium. RNAcentral describes it as "partial 16S ribosomal RNA". It matches the Rfam family "Bacterial small subunit ribosomal RNA", at positions 30 to 233 of the family's 1533-position model. The record is from RNAcentral.